Non-coding RNA from Cricetulus griseus (Chinese hamster), 319 nucleotides. The record is from RefSeq and is a predicted model, not a curated record. NCBI's taxonomy places the organism in Eukaryota, Metazoa, Chordata, Mammalia, Rodentia, Cricetidae.
UGACAACGAUGGCAGCCGGGGGAGGCGCGGUCGCACGAGUUGUCAGCUCCCGGGCUUGAGCUGAGGGAGCAGAGGGCCCCGACCCCCUUGUCGGCAGGAGCAGCCGGUGGUGGCCUUUGGUCUGACAAACUGGCAAGAGCUGAGGGAGCAGCAGGAGCUGUUGCGCAGCCAUUGGUACCUGUAUUGGGGAAACAUAGCAUACAAGCAAGAAGCUUACAGCCUCAGUGGCGAAAACUUUUUCAUGUCAGAGACCGAGAACUCUUGCAGUCGUUUAUGUCAUCCCUUCUUCUCCAGACAGAAGAUACCAAAAAGUUGCAAU